This 446-nucleotide ribosomal RNA is filed under the name uncultured bacterium. RNAcentral's name for it is "bacterial SSU rRNA". It matches the Rfam family "Bacterial small subunit ribosomal RNA", at positions 354 to 796 of the family's 1533-position model. The record is from RNAcentral.
GUAAGGAAUAUUGGACAAUGGGCGGAAGCCUGAUCCAGCCAUGCCGCGUGAAGGAUGAAGGCGCUCAGCGUUGUAAACUUCUUUUGGAUGGGGACAAACCACUCGACGUGUCGGGUGCUGAGGGUACCAUCAGAAUAAGCACCGGCUAACUCCGUGCCAGCAGCCGCGGUAAUACGGAGGGUGCGAGCGUUAUCCGGAAUCACUGGGUUUAAAGGGUGCGUAGGCGGUCCGAUAAGUCAGUUGUGAAAUUCCUCGGCUCAACCGAGUGGACUGCGAUUGAUACUGUCAGACUUGAAUCAGGUUGAGGUAGGCGGAAUGUGACAUGUAGCGGUGAAAUGCUUAGAUAUGUCAUAGAACACCGAUUGCGAAGGCAGCUUGCUAGACCUGGAUUGACGCUGAGGCACGAAAGCGUGGGGAGCAAACAGGAUUAGAAACCCGUGUAGUCC